Molecule: ribosomal RNA, 524 nt
Filed under: uncultured bacterium
Lineage: Bacteria
Description: bacterial SSU rRNA
Rfam family: Bacterial small subunit ribosomal RNA
Source: RNAcentral
UAGAGUUUGAUCAUGGCUCAGAUUGAACGCUGGCGGCGUGCCUAACACAUGCAAGUCGAGCGGUAACAGGUGUAGCAAUACAUGCUGACGAGCGGCGAACGGGUGAGUAAUGCUUCGGAAUCUGCCCAAUGGUGGGGAAUAACCAGCCGAAAGGUUGGCUAAUACCGCAUACGUCCCACGGGAGAAAGCAGGGGAUCGCAAGACCUUGCGCCAAUGGAUGAGCCGAAGUCGGAUUAGCUAGUUGGUAGGGUAACGGCCUACCAAGGCGACGAUCCGUAGCUGGUCUGAGAGGACGACCAGCCACACUGGGACUGAGACACGGCCCAGACUCCUACGGGAGGCAGCAGUGGGGAAUAUUGGACAAUGGGGGAAACCCUGAUCCAGCGACGCCGCGUGUGUGAAGAAGGCCUGCGGGUUGUAAAGCACUUUUAGUGGGGAUGAAAAGUUCGGGGCUAACACCUCCGGAUCUUGACCUAACCCACAGAAAAAGCACCGGCUAACUCUGUGCCAGCAGCCGCGGUAAU